UAUUCUGCCCCACGGGGAAGGAUGAGAAGCUUCGACUAAGGUUCGACUCGAGCGAAGCGAGAGAACGUUGCCGCAGGCAACGGCCCGAAGGGCGAGGCGCUUUAGCGCCGAGUAAUCCUUCCCC
This 124-nucleotide small RNA is filed under the name Klebsiella pneumoniae. Its description in RNAcentral is "partial RtT sRNA". It matches the Rfam family "RtT RNA". Rfam says of the family: This family represents a bacterial cis-regulatory element known as RtT RNA. The exact function of RtT is unknown although it is thought that it may be involved in changing the cellular response in relation to amino acid starvation. The record is from RNAcentral. Lineage: Bacteria; Pseudomonadati; Pseudomonadota; Gammaproteobacteria; Enterobacterales; Enterobacteriaceae. RNAcentral also lists the same sequence under 1 other name.